CCCUUAGAUGUUCUGGGCAGCACGCGCGCUACAAUGGUCUUCGCAAACGGAUGCAUUCCCGAAGGAGAAUACCAAUCUUGGAAUCUAUGCCUUGGUCGGGACAGUUGCUUGCAAUUUUUCGACUCGAACCAGGAAUUCCUUGUAAUCGUGAUUCAUCACAUCACGAUGAAUACGUCCCUGCCCUUUGUACACACCGCCCGUCGCUCCUACCGAUCGAAGAGUUAGGUGAAUUGUUUUGAUCGAUAAGAUUUGACUAUGGUCAACUCUCGUUGUGAAAUUCUGUGAAUCUGACUGUUUAGAGGAAGGAAAAGUCGUAACA
This 319-nucleotide ribosomal RNA is filed under the name uncultured eukaryote. RNAcentral describes it as "partial 18S ribosomal RNA". It matches the Rfam family "Eukaryotic small subunit ribosomal RNA", at positions 1470 to 1796 of the family's 1831-position model. The record is from RNAcentral.